Molecule: long non-coding RNA, 4609 nt
Organism: Bos taurus (domestic cattle)
Lineage: Eukaryota; Metazoa; Chordata; Mammalia; Artiodactyla; Bovidae
Source: Ensembl
GACAAUGAGUCUGUUUUCAAAGUAGAGCCUCAGCCCCUAAACCAUCCUUUGUCCUGUUUUGUACUAUCAGAGCUGGACCUUGUCAUCACUUAACACUUGGGAUAGUGUUUAGCAUUAUGGUAGAAGGCUCUACAAUGGUCCCACAGGAGAAAGGACACUCUUCUACCUGAACCCAGUGGUUUUCCCCUUUUGCUCCAGGGAUAUGCAGCUGAAGUGCCCUUCUCUUGAGGGGUCACUCAAAAGUGUGCCCCCUGUGGGUGGCUUCUUAGAAAGUUUUAUCAGCACUCUGGAUGCAGCUUUCUAGUGAGGAGUCUUAGAGGGGGCUUCCCAGCAAGUUUCAGCGACCUGCUCUUCAUUGUCUUCAGCUGGAGGCUUCCUAGUGGUGCUGCUGGAAUUCCCUUAGAGCAGCUAGUUUCUGGCUGGCCAGGCCUGGUACUCAACACCUCAGGGAAAUUCUCUCCCUGCAGUGGGAGGCAGCUGCACCUUCUCCAGCUGGUUCCGAGCUUCAGUCUGGGGGACUUUCUCCCAGGAUGCUCUUCCUUGAAAACUCUGUUUUAGUCCUAGCAGGAGUGGCUGCCACUUACACCUGCUUUUUCUGUGUUUUUUAGAUUCUCUCUAUCCUUUUUAUUAGUAAAUUCCCUCUGAUGAAUGGAUAAUUAUUCAUAUUCAAAUUUUCCAAUUCAAACGACUGGUUUGGUUACUGCCUGCGAGCCGACAUUGGCUGAUACAGACACCAUACAAGAACCCAGAAAAAGCUGGAAGAUAGGCAUGCCCUCUGUGACCACAACAUCCUGAAAGAAUCCAUUCUUAGCCACUUGGUCCUGAGCGUGAAAGGAGGUGUCUAAGCGCUUCCUUUUAAGUUCUCAUUAGAUUUUAUUUCAAUAAAGUUGUUGCAUCCCUUUCUCCUCCUCCCCCCGCUCCCCCCCCCCCCAAAAAAAAACGGUCCAUGGUUUCGCGGCUAUAGAGGAGCCACCUGGCUGCAGCUUGGAAAUCCAGGCAUUCAUCUCCCGGCGCCAUGGCUGUGGGCACAAAUGUGUAGGAGAUUCUAGAACUGGGGGAUGAGAGAGGCACAGGGCUUCCGGGACCAUCAGCAAGAAGCAGAUUAUCAAGCCAGACAAGAAAAAGUCCAAGAAGUCCUACGAAGUCCUGGCCUUCCAGAAGUCUGCGGAUGUGCACCCGGAAGUCUACCGCUGCUCUAGUCUGACAAGAAGGACUCACUGCUAUCCAGUGACACGGGCAAGGCCACCGCACCGUGAGGGCCAAGUUGGGCACCAAGAAGACGUGGCCCUGGAAGUGGAUGCCAUCCACCAACCCAGCAUGCAAGGAUGGAGCCUGUUCUUCCACUGGCGACAGGCAGCUGAGGAGGGCAAGGCUGUCCCCUUGCCCACGUUCGAUAAGACUGUUGGUGCCCGUGCAUUCAGAGCAGGAGUACCAGCUCUGGCUUCACCAAGACACUCAAACAGAGGCAGAAACUGGCCACCUCUUUGACCUCAGCCGCUGCUUUGGUCUCCCUUUUGUCAUUCGCCAUGCCUGGGAUGAUCGCCAGCAGUUGACGGAGCCACCUGUGGAGGACUUGAAGGAGCGGUAUUACCGCGUCUGAGCAGAGCUGGCCAACGUCCAGGCCGAGAUCUGGACAACGCACAGACCUCGGGGUACCAGUGUUCGAUGCUUGGCACUGGCGACGGUGGAAGGAACAACUGAAGCAUUGCUGUAAGUUGCCAGUAAGCACGCGACGGCGGAAGAGUACCCACUAUAUAAGCUGCUCCAGAUCUAGUCCCGGCAGAAGCAGCGUAGUGGGGAGCGCGGGAGCUUCUGACGGCUGCUGGCCGGGCUGCCUAGCAACGUCCUCCUGACGCAGUCACCUCACAAAAAAGGGGCCAAGAAGCCGGUUGUUCUGAGACUACAGGCAUGACUACCUUAGCAGAUGGAGCUGCUAGGGUCUAUGGAACAGACGAUCGAGGCCUGGAACCAGUGCUGGAUGUGGAGCUGAGCCCGGAGGAGGGGUUGGUGCGCAGGCUCGGCGAGGCGCGGCCCGAGCUGGUGCAGGUGGACCAGCUCGAGCAGGAUGGCGCCGCCCGUGGGGACGAGCCCCGGACGCUGGCCCCGGCUGGGUGCUGCGAGGCUGCCACCCCAGCGUCGGUGCUGGCCCUGGCGGAGCCUGAACCUGGCCUGGGGCCUGCUCCUAGCAAGGGCACCAUCGUCUACCAUCAUCGCACCCAUUGCGUCCACGAGGAAGCGAUGGGAAUCAUCUCCAGCUCCUCUUCUCUGAAAAAACCAAGAAACCCUGAGAGGCCGCAAGGGGUGAAGGAUGCGGCUGCGUAGAGCUGAUCUACAUUGUCCUACAUCGGGGCCCUCCUUCAGCCCUACAGCCUGAGCCCCAGAAUGACUGUCACUGGGAGCAGAGCCACAGCUGACUUGCAUGGCCACACACUGACUUCAGAGCAAACAAACCCAAGGGAAUCCUGAUCUGAGAAAAUGGAGUCCAUAUAUUUUUCUUUGAGCUGAAGGAAAGCAAAUGUAAGCAUUGUGUAAUUACUCGCUGAAGCAUCUGUAUGGUUCCUGUAGAAAAGAACAUCCAUAUAAUCCUGGUGUUGGAGUCAAAUUAUUUGCUUAUUCUCAUUCUUUGUGUGACAAGUGAGUGAUUUCCCCCUAAACCUGGACAUUCAAGCUAAAAUCUGAUUAUUAUUUAAAUUUUGUGUUUAUCAAGCUUCCUCCAAUGGCCACUUCAGUGCAAGAAGAGUGUGGGGGUGUCGUCUUGUUACCUUCAGACGAGCCGGAAGUGCAGGUUCUUCACAUGGCCUGGUUUCCCAUUGGGAUGAACGGGGGCUCUUUGUUACUGCUGGACGGGCUCAGAGUUCCAGCUCUCUCUCCAACUUCAGCUGGGACCUGGCUGGAAGCAGGAGAAGAUCUCGUCACCAGGCUUCACUGGGGCCCCCGCUGCCAGUUCCUUGGAGGAAGUGGACUCGUUAUCACGGAGUAGUGCUAAGAGCCUUGACUGCAUAGUUCUUGUUCUCACACACCCUCGGUGAGGAAGUGGAGGUACCUUGUUACUGCUGCAGAGAAGUGGCGAUCCAGACUCUGUCCUGGUCUCCACUGCAGCAUGGCACGAGAUCUGUCAGGGAUGGAAAGCUCAGUUCUCCAGUCAGCCUCUUCUGAUACCAAGCUGUGGAAGGAAAGUUAGAGUAUCUCACUGUUGCCUGCCAAGGGUGGAAGUCUUGCUUUUCCACGCAAAACUUUGCUAGAAAGGAUGAGGCUGGGGCUUACUCUACAGGUUACUCUACACCGGUUAUUGGGUGAAGGUUUUUCUCUUGUUACCUGGUCCUUCGGCUACAGAGAAGAGGCUGUACGAGGGUUCUUUUAGCAGCUUCUCCAGUAUUCAUUCUGAGAUACAUGAGACAAAAAGAAAACUUCAGAAUUCACCAAGUCGUUCCACAUAAACAUAGGUAUAAAUAUCUCCCAGUUUUGAACUUGUACUUGGUGGUUGGAAUAGGUAAAAGUACAUCUGUUCUUCUCCAUACUCUUUGAAAGUUCGAUAAAAUUCAUAUGAUUCUUGUUUUGUAAAUUGAGGUAUAAGUGAAAUAUAACAUUUCAGAUGUAUAAUAAAAUGGUUCAGUGUUUGUAUAUAUUGUGAAAUGAUCAUGAUAAAUUAUCUUAAAAAUCUUUUUAGAAAGCUAUAAUAAACUGAACAAAAUGUUUAUUGUAAUAUGCCUCACAGCAGAUAAUACUUAAUGUGAUAUAUGUCUCUGAUAUUUUACCCUGCUUUAAUGCCAAAUACUAAAGAAAAUGAUACAAACACAGAUCAUUACUGCCAGCAAAAAAUAAAUAAAAUUCACAUCCCUUUGGUGAAAUGCAAUGAUACAAACCAUGAGUUUGGAUAAUGUGGAUGACACUUUACAUGGAAAGGAAAAUCAAGAAUGAAAAUAAUUGUGAUGGAGUCCUGUGGUAUUCUUUUAAAACUCCUAUUAAAAUAUUGGAGGAUGAUGGGGUACAAGUGGAGACGUGAAUAGGUGCUUUAGGGUGACUACUGCAGUUUAUCUGGACCUCGCCUGGUUUUAACACUGAACGUCUCUUAGUCCUGGACAAACAGGAAGCGUAGUCAUCCUCACUGGACAACUGUGCUGAUUUACAGGUACUGUGCAAUUUUAAUCUUGUAAUUGUGGCUGUUUUACUACUAAUGCAUCCAAGGAAUUAUUAAAAUAACUGGGUAAAGUUCACCACAUUCUCUUACCUCAUCCAUCGUUGUAGCUGGGAGCUUGUGACUUCUAGUAACUACUGAAUUGGGUUUUCUGCUCUUGUUCUUCACCUCCUUUAGUCCCUUUGUUUCCAAACAGCAGAGUUCUUAAGAAUUGCAUUAGAAUCAAGCAAUUGGAGAGAUAUAUUUAUGAUUAGAAAACUGUUGACUAGAACCAAAGUUUAUUAUAUUAUCUGUAGAAUAAUAGACAUUUUAAAAUGAAUUAAUGUAGUUUGCUAUAUUUGCUAAAGUUAUAUUGUAUCAAUUACUUACUGGAAUCUUCAUUUACAAGAAAUAAUAGUAAUGUAGAAUAAUCUUAUAUUUAUAAACCAACCCUUUACUGUACAGAAGAAACUAACAACACUGUAAAGCCAUUAC